RNAcentral lists this small nucleolar RNA (110 nucleotides) under Castor canadensis (American beaver). RNAcentral's name for it is "Small nucleolar RNA SNORA69 (ENSCCNG00000000419.1)". It matches the Rfam family "Small nucleolar RNA SNORA69". From Rfam's summary of the family: U69 is a member of the H/ACA class of small nucleolar RNAs (snoRNAs) which act as guides in the the modification of uridines to pseudouridines. The record is from Rfam by way of RNAcentral. Lineage: Eukaryota; Metazoa; Chordata; Mammalia; Rodentia; Castoridae.
AAAGCAAGUUGUAAGUACUGCCAUUAUACUGCUGAAAGAAAAAUCAUGUUGAUUGUUUUUUAUUUUUGCCUUUAUCAGGGUAAAAUCAUGACAGUAUGACAUGGACAAUU